Caenorhabditis elegans is the source of this 140-nucleotide non-coding RNA. NCBI's taxonomy places the organism in Eukaryota, Metazoa, Nematoda, Chromadorea, Rhabditida, Rhabditidae. The record is from Ensembl.
UAAAAUACUCGAGGCUUGGGUUACCACCACUGCCCUCCUCAUCUCGCUCGCUAUUUUUUCAGAUUAAAAGAACGCCGAAGGCUAUUAAACAGGCUGGAGUCUUUUGAAAAACGUGAUGUAGGUGAUUGAGGGAGACUAUU